Molecule: transfer RNA, 71 nt
Filed under: Toxocara canis (dog roundworm)
Lineage: Eukaryota; Metazoa; Nematoda; Chromadorea; Rhabditida; Toxocaridae
Rfam family: tRNA
About the family: Transfer RNA (tRNA) molecules are approximately 80 nucleotides in length. Their secondary structure includes four short double-helical elements and three loops (D, anti-codon, and T loops).
Source: Rfam by way of RNAcentral
GCUGCAAUAGCUCAGUGGUAGAGGCCCGCUUCGCGUGCGGGGAGACCCGGGUUCGAUUCCUGGUUGCUUCG